This 779-nucleotide long non-coding RNA is filed under the name Homo sapiens (human). RNAcentral's name for it is "non-protein coding lnc-AGRN-2:5". Lineage: Eukaryota; Metazoa; Chordata; Mammalia; Primates; Hominidae. The record is from RNAcentral.
GACGGAGUUUCACCAUGUUGGCCAGGAUGGUCUUCAACUUCUAACUUCGUGAUCCACGCUGCUGGGAUUACAGGUGUGAGCCACCGCGUGUGGCCUCUGGGCACCUUUUGAAGGUGGUUUCACCCCAACAUCAGCAGGGUGGAGGCGGAGAAGCUGUUCCUAUCCAGAGGUCAGCGUGGGGACUUCCUUGCCAGGCCCAGUGAGAGCAGCCCGGGGGGCUUCACGCUGUCCGUCAGGUAGCUGAAGCAGAGAGAGAAGGCGGCAGGCAUCAGCGUUUUCUUCUAUGAACUUAUAAGAUCAAAGACUUUAAGACUUUCACUAUUUCUUCUACCGCUAUCUACUACGAACUUCAAAGAGGAACCAGGAGUACGGAAGGAGCAUGAAAGUGGACAAGGAACGUGACCAUUGAAGCACCACAGGGAGGGGUUCAGGCCUCCGGAUGACUGCAGGCAGGCCUGGGUAACAUCCAGCCUCCCACAAGAAGCUGGUGGAGCAGAGCGUUCCCUGACUCCUCCAAGGAAAGGAGACUCCCUUUCCCGGUCUGCUCAGUAACGGGUGCCUUCCCAGACACUGGCGUUACCGCUUGACCAAGGGGCCCUCAAGCGGCCCUUAUGCGGGCAUGACAGAAGGCUCCCCUCUUGCCUUCUAUUCACUUCUCACAAUGUCCCUUCAGCACCUGACCCUAUACCUGCCGGUUAUUCCUAGGUUAUAUUAUUAAUGCAACAGAGUAAUAUUAAAAGCUAAUGAUUAAUAAUGUUUAUAAUAAUGAUGGAUAAUUG